AGGCCUGUAGCUCUAAUUGGCUAGAGCUCCGGAUUCCAAAUCCGGGAGUUGGGGGUUCGAAUCCCUCCAGGCCUG
Molecule: transfer RNA, 75 nt
Filed under: Candidatus Omnitrophota bacterium
Lineage: Bacteria; Pseudomonadati; Candidatus Omnitrophota
Description: Candidatus Omnitrophica bacterium tRNA-Trp
Rfam family: tRNA
About the family: Transfer RNA (tRNA) molecules are approximately 80 nucleotides in length.
Source: RNAcentral